AUCCACCCAAAAGGGAUCUCUUUUUCCUUUCCCCCCAUGGGCACCCCUAGUGAAGCCACAACCACAGGGUGGGAACCUAACACUACCAGAUAUCCUGAAACUAGUCCAUUCAACUCCUUCCACAAAAGGAUCUCUUCUUCAGGGGAAGGCAUCAGCCCAACAUUUACUAUUUUCAUCUGACUCAGUCUCUAUCAACAAAGUUCCCAUUUCCAUGGUAACAUGGAAUCAAUAUACAGUUGAAACUGACAUCACAAUAAAGGCCCCUAUAAAAGGAAUUAACUGAGCUCAGUUGGGUUACCUUGGACUAAGGUCCCCAUCAACCCUUACCUCUAUUCAUUUUCUCCCCUGAACGAUGGGUGCAAAUUGUACGCACCAUUAUAGGAAACAGAGAAAAACAGAUUUAAACAGAAGACAGGCUUCUGGAAGAAAAAAAUUUGACACCUCUUUGCCUGAUGGUACCCUUGCCCCAUCAGAUGACUCCUCGGUGUCCACAAUGACUGACAACAAUACUUCAGGCUAUAAACACCAAAUGAGCUUCCCUUGCUUCAGAAACAGUGAGUAUUCUUAUCCUGGCACUAAACAGAGGAUACAAUUUGUACAUCCUGAUCUUGUUCCAAUAGCAUCUUAGGAAAGAGAAGCUGGGAUAGGAGGGCCAAAGAGAGAGAAAGACACCAGAAAAUCCUGGUUCCUUUCUCAUAUUUCAAUCCCCACAUGUCACCCUGUGACCAUGUGAAACAGAGAUAGUUUCCCUUGUAUUUUAUAGCCCCUCCCUAUAAUCAUACCAUGCUUACCUGGUCCAUAGUUUUCAUUCACGAUCUUUCUUCCUCAGUGCCUCAGAGAAAAACCAUCACUUUAGCAUUCUCUCUGACUUCAUCCUCAGUUCCUCUCACUGCAGGUAGCAGCCAUUUGCAUUUUUGAUGAAUGCUGGUAAAUUUUGCUGCAUUUAAUUAUGAAGUUGAAAGCUAGCUACUGGUCCUAGACUCAUAACAUCACAGACUUAGAUCUCGAAGUGAACUUCCAGGCUAUCUAGUUUAAUCUACUCCUCAUGAUAAAAUUAAAUAAUAAAUUUCCAAUGGAAAAAGCUGUCUUUUCUAUC
RNAcentral lists this long non-coding RNA (1096 nucleotides) under Monodelphis domestica (gray short-tailed opossum). Its description in RNAcentral is "lncRNA (ENSMODG00000042216.1)". Lineage: Eukaryota; Metazoa; Chordata; Mammalia; Didelphimorphia; Didelphidae. The record is from RNAcentral.